Molecule: ribosomal RNA, 831 nt
Filed under: Microbacterium sp. TCA3-19_Pa
Lineage: Bacteria; Bacillati; Actinomycetota; Actinomycetes; Micrococcales; Microbacteriaceae
Description: bacterial SSU rRNA
Rfam family: Bacterial small subunit ribosomal RNA
Source: RNAcentral
CUUACCUGCAAGUCGAACGGUGAAGCCCCGCUUGCGGGGUGGAUCAGUGGCGAACGGGUGAGUAACACGUGAGCAACCUGCCCCUGACUCUGGGAUAAGCGCUGGAAACGGCGUCUAAUACUGGAUACGAGACGUGAUCGCAUGGUCAACGUUUGGAAAGAUUUUUCGGUUGGGGAUGGGCUCGCGGCCUAUCAGCUUGUUGGUGAGGUAAUGGCUCACCAAGGCGUCGACGGGUAGCCGGCCUGAGAGGGUGACCGGCCACACUGGGACUGAGACACGGCCCAGACUCCUACGGGAGGCAGCAGUGGGGAAUAUUGCACAAUGGGCGCAAGCCUGAUGCAGCAACGCCGCGUGAGGGAUGACGGCCUUCGGGUUGUAAACCUCUUUUAGCAGGGAAGAAGCGAGAGUGACGGUACCUGCAGAAAAAGCACCGGCUAACUACGUGCCAGCAGCCGCGGUAAUACGUAGGGUGCAAGCGUUAUCCGGAAUUAUUGGGCGUAAAGAGCUCGUAGGCGGUUUGUCGCGUCUGCUGUGAAAUCUGGGGGCUCAACCCCCAGCCUGCAGUGGGUACGGGCAGACUAGAGUGCGGUAGGGGAGAUUGGAAUUCCUGGUGUAGCGGUGGAAUGCGCAGAUAUCAGGAGGAACACCGAUGGCGAAGGCAGAUCUCUGGGCCGUAACUGACGCUGAGGAGCGAAAGGGUGGGGAGCAAACAGGCUUAGAUACCCUGGUAGUCCACCCCGUAAACGUUGGGAACUAGUUGUGGGGUCCAUUCCACGGAUUCCGUGACGCAGCUAACGCAUUAAGUUCCCCGCCUGGGGAGUACGGCCGCAA